GGAAUUGCUUGCUUGGAUGUGGCUAUCUUUAUUUGAUUCCUUGAUCUUCAUAAUGUCUGGAUAUUGCUAAUUGCUCCUUUAUUAUUGCUUGAUUCAAAUUCCAAAGGGAAAGUGAGUUUUCUAUAUGACAUUUUUGUAUGUUGGAUUGCAUCCCAUUGGUCAUAUCUUUUCAACUCUAAACUUUUAAUUUGUGUUUAGGAUA
This 202-nucleotide long non-coding RNA is filed under the name Lathyrus oleraceus (garden pea). RNAcentral's name for it is "Pisum sativum (pea) long non-coding RNA (PSAT_LNC006783)". Lineage: Eukaryota; Viridiplantae; Streptophyta; Magnoliopsida; Fabales; Fabaceae. The record is from RNAcentral.